Molecule: ribosomal RNA, 253 nt
Filed under: uncultured bacterium
Lineage: Bacteria
Description: partial 16S ribosomal RNA
Rfam family: Bacterial small subunit ribosomal RNA
Source: RNAcentral
UACAGAGGUCUCAACCGUUGUUCGGAUUCAUUGGGCGUAAAGGGUGCGUAGGCGGUCGCGCAAGUCGGUUGUGAAAUCUCAGGGCUCAACCCUGAAACUGCAUUCGAUACUGCGUGGCUAGAGUGCUGGAGAGGAGACUGGAAUUUACGGUGUAGCAGUGAAAUGCGUAGAUAUCGUAAGGAAGACCAGUGGCGAAGGCGAGUCUCUGGACAGCAACUGACGCUGAGGCACGAAGGCCAGGGGAGCAAACGGG